This 258-nucleotide ribosomal RNA is filed under the name uncultured bacterium. RNAcentral describes it as "partial 16S ribosomal RNA". It matches the Rfam family "Bacterial small subunit ribosomal RNA", at positions 793 to 1055 of the family's 1533-position model. The record is from RNAcentral.
GUCCACGCCUUAAACGAUGAAUACUAGACGUUGGGAUAAAACUCAGUGUCGCAGCUAACGCAGUAAGUAUUCCACCUGGGGAGUACGAUCGCAAGGUUGAAACUCAAAGGAAUUGACGGGGGCCCGCACAAGCAGUGGAGCAUGUGGUUCAAUUCGAUGCAACGCGAAGAACCUUACCUGGGCUUGACAUGUAAGCUAAGGCCGAUGAAAGUCGGCGUCCCGCAAGGGGAGCUUACACAGAUGCUGCAUGGCUGUCGU